Molecule: non-coding RNA, 1684 nt
Organism: Oncorhynchus mykiss (rainbow trout)
Lineage: Eukaryota; Metazoa; Chordata; Actinopteri; Salmoniformes; Salmonidae
Source: RefSeq, a predicted model, not a curated record
UAACCCCGUCGGGAGAGAACAUGGCAUUUUGAUUCUCCCCCUAGUCCCCGCCCUCCUGACGUCACCCGGAAGAGGGGGACGGACGGGGGAACCAAGAUGGCGUUUCUACGCUGUAGGCGAGACCCGUGUGGAUUUAUAUGUCUCAUACUAACUUAUUUCAGCGUCUUUUACGCCGAUUAUGUGGUCAUUCAGUAUGUCCUCAUCCCUGCCUACUCGGGAAGUGUGUGGUGUACACUACAUGGGUCAGUGUUUAACUUGAUUCUACUACUGCUGCUGGCCUGUCACUCCAAAGCUGUCUUCUCAGACCCAGGUAUGGUUCCCCUACCAGAGACGGCCAUCGACUUCUCUGACCUGAGGUCCCAGAAUUCACACAUGAAUGAGAGGGGUUGUGAGGGCUGGACUGUUUGUAGUCGUUGUGAGACCUACCGCCCCCCCAGAGCUCACCACUGUAGAGUAUGUCAACGAUGCAUACGACGCAUGGACCACCACUGUCCCUGGAUCAAUAACUGUGUUGGAGAGUUGAACCAGAAGUACUUCAUCCAGUUUCUCUUCUAUACAGGUAUGGCCAGUCUCUACUCCAUGGCUCUGGUGGUGUCAGCCUGGGUGUGGAGAAUACGGAGCGAGAGAGACGGUGAAGGAGAGAAGGAAGGAGAGGAGUCUCCCAGCAAACACCUGAUUGUAGCUCACUACAUCAUUCUCCUGGUUGAGUCAGUGUUGUUUGGAGUGUUCGUCAUGGUCAUCUUCUACGACCAGUUGGUGUCCAUUAUAACAGAUGAAACUCCUAUAGAACAUUUGAGGAACAGACUGAUGAAAGACAGAACAUCGAUCACCAGCAGCACCUCUGAGCCACCGACACACAUCCCACACACACGCAAGCCCAAACUAGCCCUGCUCAGAGAGGUCUUCGGGAGAGGGUCGGUGUUCUGUUGGCUGUUCCCUCUACAUUCCAGUCCCCCCACCGUCGGUGGAAUCAGCUACUCGGCUGUUCCGGAUUAUGAUGUGUAACGUUCCCACAACCUUCAAACAACAUUCUGUGACGACAGCGUUUUAACAUUCCUUCAACGUUGUGGUUACGUUACGGCCAUCAUAUAAUUAGGGCUGUCAAAUGAUUCAUUUAAUUCGUGGCGUUUAGUUAAUCGCAAUUCGUUACAAUGUUGAGGGAAGGUUAGUUUUAGAUGUUGAGGGAAGGUUAGUUUUAGAUGUUGAGGGAAGGUUAGGGUUGAGGGAAGGUUAGUUUUAGAUGUUGAGGGAAGGUUAGUUUUAGAUGUUGAGGGAAGGUUAGUUUUAGAUGUUGAGGGAAGGUUAGUUUUAGAUGUUGAGGGAAGGUUAGUUUUAGAUGUUGAGGGAAGGUUAGGGUUGAGGGAAGGUUAGUUUUAGAUGUUGAGGGAAGGUUAGUUUUAGAUGUUGAGGGAAGGUUAGUUUUAGAUGUUGAGGGAAGGUUAGUUUUAGAUGUUGAGGGAAGGUUAGGGUUGAGGGAAGGUUAGGGUUGAGGGAAGGUUAGGGUUACAGUAUUUGAUACGAUAUUACUGAUUAUACUACUGAUGUAUUCUGACUUGUUACACACACUACCGCACACACUACCACUACCACACCCACUACCACACUACCACACACACUACCACACACACUACCACUACCACACCCACUACCACACUACCACACACACUCCCACUACCACACCCAC